Molecule: long non-coding RNA, 1065 nt
Filed under: Oryctolagus cuniculus (rabbit)
Lineage: Eukaryota; Metazoa; Chordata; Mammalia; Lagomorpha; Leporidae
Description: lncRNA (ENSOCUG00000032233.1)
Source: RNAcentral
AUGGCAGGGGUUUUCUGCCCUGGAAACAGAAGGCCCCGGGCACACGGCCCCUCCACUUCCAGCAGAACGGCCGGAGCGGGAGGCCUAGCCCAGCUCUGUCCCCCUGUGGGUGAACUCUCACCAGGCAGGAGCCACAGCAGGCUGGGCCUGGAGCAGGGAAGGCCCCAGGACCUGCUCCCUCCAGCCCCGCCCUGCCCUGGCUGCCGCGCUGACCCACGGGAGCCUGUGGGGCCCAGGCUGGGUGGCCAACAGCAGAAGCGCCUGGGCCGGGCACGCUCAGGGCUCCUGAGGUGCGGAGGCGCCUGGGCGAGGCCACUGUGGCCCAGCCUGCGGCACCUCCGCCUUGGCCCCUGCUGCACACACACCAGCUGUAGCUCCUCACGGCUGGGCUCCAAGACGGACAGCGCCUGGGCUGCCACCGAGGGGGGACUGGGUGCCUGGUGGGCCUGGUCGCCCAGGCCUGGGGAGCCAGGGGACCAGGCGAGGGCAGGCACCUGCUCUCGCUCCUGCCACGUCCCUCUCUCUGCUCCUCCCCCCACGCCUGAGGAUCCCCGAGUGCUCCCAGGAGCCCGUCCUGCUGCCCCAAGGCACAACCAUACCCGGCCCCCGGAGCCACAGGGCGGCAGGGAGACCCCCGGCCACGGCCUUCUGAGCCCAGCUUCUCUGUCUCUGCCGCCUGACCGCCAGCCCCACGCACACACACGGUCCCUGCCCAGAACCCAGAAUAUUCCAGUAAAGUCAGGAACGAGCAAAGCCACGGCCACCCCCAGGGUCACUGCCAGGGUUCUGUGGGAGACAGGAGGGCUCAGCCGUGGGAGGGAGGGAGAGGCCGGCCCCUUCCCAGGAAACCAGCAGGGCGGCCCCUCUGCAGUCGGCAACCUGAGCAACCCCCAGCGCAGCAGCAGCAGCAGGGGGCCCGGCCCUGUGCCCUCCCAUUCACCCACGGGCCCCGGUGGUGACAGCAGGUGCCCGGCCCUGUGCCCUCCCAUUCACCCACGGGCCCCGGUGGUGACAGCAGGUGCCCGGCCCUGUGCCCUCCCAUUCACCCACGGGCCCCGGUGGUGA